This 258-nucleotide ribosomal RNA is filed under the name uncultured prokaryote. Its description in RNAcentral is "partial 16S ribosomal RNA". It matches the Rfam family "Bacterial small subunit ribosomal RNA", at positions 524 to 782 of the family's 1533-position model. The record is from RNAcentral.
CACGUAGGGGCGAGCGUUGUCCGGAAUUACUGGGCGUAAAGGGCGCGCAGGCUGUUAUGCGAGUCUGCUGUGAAAUGUACCGGCUCAACCGGUGCCUUGCGGCGGAUACUGCAUAGCUGGAGUACUGGAGAGGGAAGUGGAAUUCCCGGUGUAGCGGUGAAAUGCGUAGAGAUAUGGAGGAACACCAGUGGCGAAGGCGGCUUCCUGGUCUGUAACUGACGCUGAGGCUCGAAAGCGUGGGGAGCAAACAGGAUUAGA